This 186-nucleotide non-coding RNA is filed under the name Nitrospinota bacterium. RNAcentral describes it as "6S RNA". It matches the Rfam family "6S / SsrS RNA". Rfam says of the family: E. coli 6S RNA was the first non coding RNA to be sequenced, but its function was unknown until recently. It consists of 184 nucleotides that fold into an extended hairpin structure with a large single-stranded internal bulge. Lineage: Bacteria; Pseudomonadati; Nitrospinota. The record is from RNAcentral.
GCUUCCCUGUUGUGUUCGUGUAAGAAUUGACAUUUUUUUGAGCCAACUCAAAUAAAACGGGGUUGAUGGAUCGGCUACGGUGAGCAAGCCUUUCUCGAAAAGGAAGCCUGAAGUAGUCCACGGAUGCCCCACCUGUCGUUGGCAGGUUCAGAAAAAGAUUCUUAUAUCGGCAUGAACGGGGAAGUU